UACGUAGGGCGCAAGCGUUGUCCGGAAUUAUUGGGCGUAAAGAGCUCGUAGGCGGCUUGUCGCGUCGGAUGUGAAAGCCCAUGGCUUAACUGUGGGUCUGCAUCCGAUACGGGCAGGCUAGAGGCAGGUAGGGGAGAACGGAAUUCCCGGUGUAGCGGUGAAAUGCGCAGAUAUCGGGAGGAACACCGGUGGCGAAGGCGGUUCUCUGGGCCUGUACUGACGCUGAGGAGCGAAAGCGUGGGGAGCGAACAGG
Molecule: ribosomal RNA, 253 nt
Filed under: uncultured bacterium
Lineage: Bacteria
Description: partial 16S ribosomal RNA
Rfam family: Bacterial small subunit ribosomal RNA
Source: RNAcentral